UGAAAUGAAGAAAUAAUAGAGAAAAUCUUGAGGCUCUCUCUCCAAUCCACAAAAAUCCUCACACAGAUUUCCUUCACUCUCUCACGUUUCCUCUCACACUCAAUCAAAUGACGUCCAUCUCCCUCACUCUCUCUCAACUCUCACUUGACAUAUAACAAAAAUAUAAUAAAAACGUUCAGCUACCUACCACUCUCAAAAAAUUGGAAAAAGAAAAAAUUCUCUCUGCAUAUAGAAAAGACAACCCC
This 245-nucleotide long non-coding RNA is filed under the name Lathyrus oleraceus (garden pea). RNAcentral describes it as "Pisum sativum (pea) long non-coding RNA (PSAT_LNC024780)". The record is from RNAcentral. Lineage: Eukaryota; Viridiplantae; Streptophyta; Magnoliopsida; Fabales; Fabaceae.